GCGUUCUCGUCGAGCAGCGAAGCGUACGCCGCCAUCCGGA
Molecule: transfer RNA, 40 nt
Filed under: Rhodomonas lens
Lineage: Eukaryota; Cryptophyceae; Pyrenomonadales; Pyrenomonadaceae
Description: partial Selenocysteine transfer RNA
Source: RNAcentral